RNAcentral lists this ribosomal RNA (335 nucleotides) under uncultured Legionella sp. RNAcentral's name for it is "bacterial SSU rRNA". It matches the Rfam family "Bacterial small subunit ribosomal RNA", at positions 493 to 827 of the family's 1533-position model. The record is from RNAcentral. Lineage: Bacteria; Pseudomonadati; Pseudomonadota; Gammaproteobacteria; Legionellales; Legionellaceae.
CCGGCUAACUCUGUGCCAGCAGCCGCGGUAAUACAGAGGGUGCAAGCGUUAAUCGGAAUUAUUGGGCGUAAAGCGUGCGUAGGUGGUUAAUUAAGUUAGCUGUGAAAUACCUGGGCUUAACCUGGGCAUGCCAGUUAAAACUGGUUAACUAGAGUACAGUAGGGGGUAGUGGAAUUUCCGGUGUAGCGGUGAAAUGCGUAGAUAUCGGAAGGAACACCAGUAGCGAAGGCGGCUACCUGGACUGAUACUGACACUGAGGUACGAAAGCGUGGGUAGCGAACAGGAUUAGAUACCCUGGUAGUCCACGCCGUAAACGAUGUCAACUAGCUGUUGGA